GCUGUUCCCGUUUUAUUAGACUGUGUUACUAUGAAUUGUCGGGGAGGAAUCUUUCGACUAUGACGAUAAAGAUUGGCUAGAAUAGGUGAUAUGGACCCGGGGGCAGUACCCGGCGCCUCCACUUCGUACGGUUUGCAAGCGAAAGCUUUAGAUCAGCUACGGGGGCGACACAGCUUUGACAUGCACAAUAAAGGGUCGGUGUUCGUUCGUUAUUGCUCCGUCGUUAUCGGGCAAAAAAGUAUAGAUGCCAAAAACAUUAGCAUCUCGGGUGUUGCGAAUCGGAACCGCCGUAAUGGGCGUAGCCGCGUAGCAGCGAACGGCAAUCGUCAAAAGAUGAAUGUCGCUGCCUAGUUUGCCUAACGGCAGGUUAGUCAGGUAAAGACCCGCGGUUGAGGGCGACCGGGCAACAGAACGCCCUCUUA
This 422-nucleotide transfer-messenger RNA is filed under the name Holosporales bacterium. It matches the Rfam family "Alphaproteobacteria transfer-messenger RNA". Rfam says of the family: Bacterial tmRNA, also known as 10Sa RNA or SsrA, is named for its dual tRNA and mRNA-like properties. Lineage: Bacteria; Pseudomonadati; Pseudomonadota; Alphaproteobacteria; Holosporales. The record is from RNAcentral.